UACGUAGGGCGCAAGCGUUAUCCGGAAUUAUUGGGCGUAAAGAGCUCGUAGGCGGUCUGUUGCGUCGGCUGUGAAAACCCGGGGCUCAACCCCGGGCCUGCAGCCGAUACGGGCAGACUAGAGUUCGGCAGGGGAGACUGGAAUUCCUGGUGUAGCGGUGAAAUGCGCAGAUAUCAGGAGGAACACCGGUGGCGAAGGCGGGUCUCUGGGCCGUUACUGACGCUGAGGCACGAAGGCCAGGGGAGCAAACGGG
This 253-nucleotide ribosomal RNA is filed under the name uncultured bacterium. RNAcentral describes it as "partial 16S ribosomal RNA". It matches the Rfam family "Bacterial small subunit ribosomal RNA", at positions 524 to 776 of the family's 1533-position model. The record is from RNAcentral.